RNAcentral lists this ribosomal RNA (460 nucleotides) under uncultured bacterium. RNAcentral's name for it is "partial 16S ribosomal RNA". It matches the Rfam family "Bacterial small subunit ribosomal RNA", at positions 338 to 795 of the family's 1533-position model. The record is from RNAcentral.
CCUACGGGAGGCAGCAGUGAGGAAUAUUGGUCAAUGGGCGAGAGCCUGAACCAGCCAAGUCGCGUGAAGGAUGACGGCCCUACGGGUUGUAAACUUCUUUUGUCAGGGAGUAAUUGGGUCCACGCGUGGGCUUAGCGAGAGUACCUGAAGAAAAAGCAUCGGAUAACUCCGUGCCAUCAGCCGCGGUAUUACGGGGGAUGCGAGCGUUAUCCGGUUUUAUUGGGUUUAAAGGGUGGGUAGGCGGCAUUUCAAGUCAGCGGUAAAAAUUCGGGGCGAAACCCCGUCGUGCCGUUGAAACUGAUGUUCUUGAGUGGGCGAGAGGUAUGCGGAAUGCGUGGUGUAGCGGUGAAAUGCAUAGAUAUCACGCAGAACUCCGAUUGCGAAGGCAGCAUACCGGCGCCCAACUGACGCUGAAGCACGAAAGCGUGGGUAUCGAACAGGAUUAGAUACCCUUGUAGUC